Molecule: non-coding RNA, 91 nt
Organism: Trichonephila inaurata madagascariensis
Lineage: Eukaryota; Metazoa; Arthropoda; Arachnida; Araneae; Nephilidae
Source: the annotation of a GenBank genome assembly
ACGGCCAUACCAUGCCGAAAACACCGGUUCUCGUCCGAUCACCGAAGUUAAGCAUCAUCGGGCACGGUCAUACCGGGGUGACCACCUGGAA